UGUGUAGGCGGCUACGAAAGUCGGAUGUGAAAUCCCCGGGCUCAACCCGGGAAGUGCACCCGAUACUGCGUGGCUUGAGUACCGGAGAGGUUGGUGGAAUUCUCGGUGUAGAGGUGAAAUUCGUAGAUAUCGAGAGGAACACCGGUGGCGAAGGCGGCCAACUGGACGAGUACUGACGCUGAGACACGAAAGCGUGGGGAGCAAACAGGAUUAGAUACCCUGGUAGUCCACGCCGUAAACGAUGGGUGCUAGGUGUCACGGGCUUUGACUCCUGUGGUGCCGUAGCCAACGCAUUAAGCACCCCGCCUGGGAAGUACGGCCGCAAGGCUAAA
RNAcentral lists this ribosomal RNA (332 nucleotides) under uncultured bacterium. Its description in RNAcentral is "bacterial SSU rRNA". It matches the Rfam family "Bacterial small subunit ribosomal RNA", at positions 568 to 898 of the family's 1533-position model. The record is from RNAcentral.